UUUUUGUAUUUACACUCACGGGAACCCUGCGUCUAAUUUUUCCCGCGUUUUGCUCUUCUAACUCGCGGCCGACACCGUGAAUUGAUAAAGUUUUUGCAUUAUUUUCGUCGUGGCUAAAGCCAAGAAAGAAAUUCGUCACAUCUUUACACUUUUAUAAUAAAAAGACGUACAAACGAUGGAUGGAAGGACAAAGGAUGGGUUUGGAAAAAGAAGGCGAAUCCCAACUCAAGCAAGCUGCCAGCUUUAAAUGCAUGAUGCUAGGGCAGGAUGUAUUCAUUAAUACAGCUAAGUUACAAAAAAGAUAGAUAAUAGUUACAAAUGAAAACUUGUUAUAAAAAAAUGAACAAGGCUAAUAAAAUAAACUAAAAGAAGUCAGAAACUUUGAAAAAAAAGUUAGAGUGGCUUAUUUCAUUCACCCUUUGACAAAAGUGGCUGGUACAAAACACUGACCAACAUUGGUCCUUAUUGCAAAUGGACUAAAUGGGUUUUCUAGUAAAAAAAUAAAGUUUCAAUUUGAACUAAUUAACUGCACGGGGUUUUGUGAGCAAUCUACUUUUCAAAUAGCUGAUAUGAAUAUAGCUCAAUACUUUGGAAUCUGAGAUGAUAUUUGCAAAAAUCAACAGCAAUGUACCAUUUGACCUUUCAUGCAAUUAUUUCAAAGAUAAUUUAGCACUCCUGUACAUGGAAGUGAUGUGAAAUGAAAAUAUAGCUACCUUUUUUAAGAAACUGCAUCUUUUUGUUAUGCCACACCAAGCCCUAUUUUAUGAUUUAACACAAAUAUACCAGGUGUACAUACCCUUGAAACCAUGAUGCUUCAAUAUGGGGGUCUAGUGGGUCCAUGGACCUCCUCAUCGAGGGUCAGUGUUUUGUACGAUCCAUCCAAGACAAAGUGUCAAUUCAAAGAGUAUUAGCCAAAAAAACUCAGUAAAGAAGGUUGAUAAAACUGUUCAUCUAACAUUAGAAAGUUAUAAAAAUCAAGAAAAUCUAGUAGUUGUGCAAUGUGAAAGGAAGAAAGGGAAUUUGGACAGUGUAGGCAAGUAUGGAGCACAUUUACUGGCAAAAACGAUAUGCUAAUAUCAUGGAAGUGAUGUGAAAUGAAAAUAUAGCUACCUUUUUUUAAGAAACUGCAUCUUUUUGUUAUGCCACACCAAGCCCUAUUUUAUGAUUUAACACAAAUAUACCAGGUGUACAUAACCUUGAAACCAUGAUGCUUCAAUAUGGGGGUCUAGUGGGUCCAUGGACCUCCUCAUCGAGGGUCAGUGUUUUGUACGAUCCAUCCAAGACAAAGUGUCAAUUCAAAGAGUAUUAGCCAAAAAAACCCAGUAAAUUAGGUUGAUAAAACUGUUCAUCUAACAUUAGAAAGUUAUAAAAAUCAAGAAAAUCUAGUAGUUGUGCAAUGU
Molecule: long non-coding RNA, 1400 nt
Organism: Nematostella vectensis (starlet sea anemone)
Lineage: Eukaryota; Metazoa; Cnidaria; Anthozoa; Actiniaria; Edwardsiidae
Exons: 2
Source: RefSeq, a predicted model, not a curated record